UCUUGUCUUCAAAAGCCAUCCGAUUCCCUGCAAAUUGUAGUAAUUUCCCUCUUGACAAAAACCGCCUUUAGUCCUAUAUUAUAGCAGUAUUUGGGUAAGGAUAUCGAAGAUUGUGUUUGCUAAAUUUAAGUUAAACAAUAAAAUCCACUUGGCUUAAUAUGAGCUUAAGUGGAAUUUUUAUUUAAAUCUGACAGAAAGGUGGUGAGUAGUUAGUGAUAGGUAAAGUUAAAUGGUUUAAUGAAACCAAGGGUUUUGGUUUUAUCGAACCAGAAGGCGGCGGCAAAGAUGUUUUUGUCCAUUACUCUGCCAUUCAGGACCAGGGGUUUAAAACCCUGAGAGAAGGGCAGGAAGUAAGCUUUGAGGUUACUGACGGACCUAAAGGUCCUCAAGCCGUAAACGUGACAAAAGCUUAAGUGGCUUUUUCAAACCCGUUAAAAACCCCCGGUCUGGGGGUUUUUAUUU
Molecule: small RNA, 462 nt
Filed under: candidate division Zixibacteria bacterium RBG-1
Lineage: Bacteria; Pseudomonadati; Candidatus Zixiibacteriota
Description: cspA thermoregulator
Rfam family: cspA thermoregulator
Source: Rfam by way of RNAcentral